UUACCUACGGGAGGCAGCAGUGGGGAAUAUUGCACAAUGGGGGAAACCCUGAUGCAGCAACGCCGCGUGAGUGAGGAAGUAUUUCGGUAUGUAAAGCUCUAUCAGCAGGGAAUAGAAAAGAAGGUACCUGAAAAAGAAGCCCCGGCUAACUACGUGCCAGCAGCCGCGGUAAUACGUAGGGGGCAAGCGUUAUCCGGAUUUAUUGGGUUUAAAGGGUGCGUAGGCGGAAUGCCAAGUCAGCGGUAAAAUCGCGGGGCUCAACCUCGCUCCGCCGUUGAAACCGGCGUUCUUGAGUGGGCGAGAAG
RNAcentral lists this ribosomal RNA (305 nucleotides) under uncultured bacterium. Its description in RNAcentral is "bacterial SSU rRNA". It matches the Rfam family "Bacterial small subunit ribosomal RNA", at positions 335 to 657 of the family's 1533-position model. The record is from RNAcentral.